AAGGUGGGGGAUAAUCUCGGGAAAUGAGGGUAAUACCCCAUAGGUCUGAUAUGCUGGAAUGCUUUCAGGCCGAAAACUCCGGUGCCUUAGGAUUGGUCUGCGGUCUAUCAGGCUGUAGUGGGUGUAACGGACCCACUAGCCCGUGACGGAUAUGGGCCUUGAGAGAGGGAGCCCAGAGAUGGACUCUGAGACAUGAGUCCAGGCCCUACGGGGCGCAGCAGUCGCGAAAACUUCGCAAUGGGGGCAACCCCGACGAGGGAAUUCCAAGUGCCAGCACUUUGUGUUGGCUGUUCUUCUGUCUAAAAAACAGGAGGAGUAAGGGGCGGGUAAGACGGGUGCCAGCCGCCGCGGUAAUACCCGCGCCCCAAGUGGUGGUCGAUAUUAUUGAGCCUAAAACGUCCGUAGCCGGUCUUCUAAAUCCUUGGGUAAAUCGGGCAGCUUAACUGUCCGAAUUCCGGGGAGACUGGGAGACUUGGGACCGGGAGAGGUCAGAGGUACUUCUGGGGUAGGGGUAAAAUCCUGUAAUCCUGGAAGGACCACCGGUGGCGAAGGCGUCUGACUAGAACGGAUCCGACGGUGAGGGACGAAGCCCUGGGGCGCAAACGGGAUUAGAUACCCCGGUAGUCCAGGGUGUAAACGCUGCGGGCUUGGUGUUGGGGGUCCUUAGUGGGCGCCCAGUGCCGGAGAGAAGUUGUUAAGCCUGCUGCUUGGGGAGUACUCCGCAAGGUGAAAC
This 733-nucleotide ribosomal RNA is filed under the name uncultured archaeon. Its description in RNAcentral is "bacterial SSU rRNA". It matches the Rfam family "Archaeal small subunit ribosomal RNA", at positions 116 to 855 of the family's 1478-position model. The record is from RNAcentral.